GUCAGGGUAUUGCCUCAGUACGGCGAGUGAGCGGCAAAAGCUCAAAUUUUAAAGCUGGCACCUUCGGUGUCCGCGUUGUAAUUUUGUGAGGCAUCUCCGGGUAGGGCGCCGGCCUAAGUUCCUUGGAACAGGACGUCAUAGAGGGUGAGAAUCCCGUGCUUGGCUGGCUGUCCCCGUCCAUGUGAGGUGUCUUCGACGAGUCGAGUUGUUUGGGAAUGCAGCUCAAAAUGGGUGGUAAAUUUCAUCUAAAGCUAAAUAUUGGUGGGAGACCGAUAGCGCACAAGUAGAGUGAUCGAAAGAUGAAAAGCACUUUGAAAAUAGAGUUAAAAAGUACGUGAAAUUGUUGAAAGGGAAGCGCUUGAGACCAGACUUCGGUGGGGGGUGAUCAGCUGUCCUUCUGGGCGGUGCACUUGCUCCCCUCCGGGCCAGCAUCGGUUGGGGCGGCGGGAUAAAGAUCCCGGGAAUGUGGCUCCUUUCGGGGAGUGUUAUAGCCCGGGUGAAUGCCGCCAGUUCCGACCGAGGACCGCGCCUUCGGGCUAGGAUGCUUGGCAUAAUGGUCUUCAGCGACCCGUCUUGAACCCACGGGACCA
RNAcentral lists this ribosomal RNA (590 nucleotides) under Morchella sp. Its description in RNAcentral is "partial large subunit ribosomal RNA". It matches the Rfam family "Eukaryotic large subunit ribosomal RNA", at positions 67 to 664 of the family's 3401-position model. The record is from RNAcentral. Lineage: Eukaryota; Fungi; Ascomycota; Pezizomycetes; Pezizales; Morchellaceae.